CGGGGGGUUAUCGGGGAUUACUGGGCGUAAGCGUGCGCAGGCGGCGCGUUAAGACAGGUGUGAAAGCCCCGAGCUUAACUUGGGAAUUGCGCUUGUGACUGGCGAGCUGGAGUGUGGCAGAGGGAGGUGGAAUUCCACGUGUAGCAGUGAAAUGCGUAGAGAUGUGGAGGAACACCGAUGGCGAAGGCAGCCUCCUGGGCCAGCACUGACGCUCAUGCACGAAAGCGUGGGGAGCAAACAGGAUUAGAUACCCUGGUGGUCCACGCCCUAAACGAUGUCAACUGGUUGUUGGUGGGGUUAAACCCAUUAGUAACGAAGCUAACGCGUGAAGUUGACCGCCUGGGGAGUACGGCCGCAAGGUUAAAACUCAAAGGAAUUGACGGGGACCCGCACAAGCGGUGGAUGAUGUGGAUUAAUUCGAUGCAACGCGAAGAACCUUACCUACCCUUGACAUGCCAGGGAGCCCGCUGAGAGGUGGGUGUGCCCGAAAGGGAGCCUGGACACAGGUGCUGCAUGGCUGUCGUCAGCUCGUGUCGUGAGAUGUUGGGUUAAGUCCCGCAACGAGCGCAACCCUUGUCACUAGUUGCUACGGUAACGGGCACUCUAGUGAGACUGCCGGUGACAAACCGGAGGAAGGUGGGGAUGACGUCAAGUCCUCAUGGCCCUUAUGGGUAGGGCUUCACACGUCAUACAAUGGCGCAUACAGAGGGCAGCCAACCCGCGAGGGGGAGCCAAUCCCAGAAAGUGCGUCGUAGUCCGGAUUGCAGUCUGCAACUCGACUGCAUGAAGUCGGAAUCGCUAGUAAUCGCGGAUCAGCAAUGUCGCGGUGAAUACGUUCCCGGGUCUUGUACACACCGCCCGUCACACCAUGGGAGUGGGUUUCACCAGAAGCCGGUUGCCUAACCUCGCAAGAGGGGGGCGCUGACCACGGUGAGAUUCAUGACUGGGGUGAAGUCGUAACAAGGUAACC
RNAcentral lists this ribosomal RNA (970 nucleotides) under uncultured bacterium. RNAcentral's name for it is "bacterial SSU rRNA". It matches the Rfam family "Bacterial small subunit ribosomal RNA", at positions 534 to 1501 of the family's 1533-position model. The record is from RNAcentral.